This 597-nucleotide ribosomal RNA is filed under the name Mucor hiemalis. Its description in RNAcentral is "eukaryotic LSU rRNA". The stretch from base 208 to 360 matches the Rfam family "5.8S ribosomal RNA". The record is from RNAcentral. Lineage: Eukaryota; Fungi; Mucoromycota; Mucoromycetes; Mucorales; Mucoraceae.
UGCUAGUUUUCUAGCGAAUGGUUCAUUCUUUUUUACUGUGAACUGUUUUAAUUUUUCAGCGUCUGAGGAAUGUCUUUUAGCCAUAGGGAUAGGCUACUAGAAUGUUAACCGAGCUGAAAGUCAGGCUUAGGCCUGGUAUCCUAUUAAUUAUUUACCAAAAGAAUUCAGUAUUAUAAUUGUAACAUAAGCGUAAAAAACUUAUAAAACAACUUUUAACAACGGAUCUCUUGGUUCUCGCAUCGAUGAAGAACGUAGCAAAGUGCGAUAACUAGUGUGAAUUGCAUAUUCAGUGAAUCAUCGAGUCUUUGAACGCAACUUGCGCUCAAUGGUAUUCCAUUGAGCACGCCUGUUUCAGUAUCAAAAACACCCCACAUUCAUAAUUUUGUUGUGAAUGGAAAUGAGAGUUUCGGCUUUAUUGCUGAAUUCUUUAAAAUUAUUAGGCCUGAACUAUUGUUCUUUCUGCCUGAACAUUUUUUUAAUAUAAAGGAAUGCUCUAGUAAAAAGACUAUCUCUGGGGCCUCCCAAAUAAAUCAUUCUUAAAUUUGAUCUGAAAUCAGGCGGGAUUACCCGCUGAACUUAAGCAUAUCAAUAAGCGGA